Molecule: ribosomal RNA, 1146 nt
Filed under: Limosilactobacillus fermentum
Lineage: Bacteria; Bacillati; Bacillota; Bacilli; Lactobacillales; Lactobacillaceae
Description: bacterial SSU rRNA
Rfam family: Bacterial small subunit ribosomal RNA
Source: RNAcentral
CAAGUCGAACGCGUUGGCCCAAUUGAUUGAUGGUGCUUGCACCUGAUUGAUUUUGGUCGCCAACGAGUGGCGGACGGGUGAGUAACACGUAGGUAACCUGCCCAGAAGCGGGGGACAACAUUUGGAAACAGAUGCUAAUACCGCAUAACAACGUUGUUCGCAUGAACAACGCUUAAAAGAUGGCUUCUCGCUAUCACUUCUGGAUGGACCUGCGGUGCAUUAGCUUGUUGGUGGGGUAAUGGCCUACCAAGGCGAUGAUGCAUAGCCGAGUUGAGAGACUGAUCGGCCACAAUGGGACUGAGACACGGCCCAUACUCCUACGGGAGGCAGCAGUAGGGAAUCUUCCACAAUGGGCGCAAGCCUGAUGGAGCAACACCGCGUGAGUGAAGAAGGGUUUCGGCUCGUAAAGCUCUGUUGUUAAAGAAGAACACGUAUGAGAGUAACUGUUCAUACGUUGACGGUAUUUAACCAGAAAGUACGGCUAACUACGUGCCAGCAGCCGCGGUAAUACGUAGGUGGCAAGCGUUAUCCGGAUUUAUUGGGCGUAAAGAGAGUGCAGGCGGUUUUCUAAGUCUGAUGUGAAAGCCUUCGGCUUAACCGGAGAAGUGCAUCGGAAACUGGAUAACUUGAGUGCAGAAGAGGGUAGUGGAACUCCAUGUGUAGCGGUGGAAUGCGUAGAUAUAUGGAAGAACACCAGUGGCGAAGGCGGCUACCUGGUCUGCAACUGACGCUGAGACUCGAAAGCAUGGGUAGCGAACAGGAUUAGAUACCCUGGUAGUCCAUGCCGUAAACGAUGAGUGCUAGGUGUUGGAGGGUUUCCGCCCUUCAGUGCCGGAGCUAACGCAUUAAGCACUCCGCCUGGGGAGUACGACCGCAAGGUUGAAACUCAAAGGAAUUGACGGGGGCCCGCACAAGCGGUGGAGCAUGUGGUUUAAUUCGAAGCUACGCGAAGAACCUUACCAGGUCUUGACAUCUUGCGCCAACCCUAGAGAUAGGGCGUUUCCUUCGGGAACGCAAUGACAGGUGGUGCAUGGUCGUCGUCAGCUCGUGUCGUGAGAUGUUGGGUUAAGUCCCGCAACGAGCGCAACCCUUGUUACUAGUUGCCAGCAUUAAGUUGGGCACUCUAGUGAGACUGCCGGUGACAAA